UUAAGCGACUAAGCGUACACGGUGGAUGCCCUGGCAGUCAGAGGCGAUGAAGGACGUGCUAAUCUGCGAAAAGCGUCGGUAAGGUGAUAUGAACCGUUAUAACCGGCGAUGUCCGAAUGGGGAAACCCAGUGCAAUUCGUUGCACUAUCGUUAACUGAAUACAUAGGUUAACGAGGCGAACCGGGGGAACUGAAACAUCUAAGUACCCCGAGGAAAAGAAAUCAACCGAGAUUCCCCCAGUAGCGGCGAGCGAACGGGGAGCAGCCCAGAGUCUGAAUCAGCUUGUGUGUUAGUGGAACGGUCUGGAAAGUCCGACGGUACAGGGUGAUAGUCCCGUACACCAAAAUGCACAGGCUGUGAACUCGAAGAGUAGGGCGGGACACGUGGUAUCCUGUCUGAAUAUGGGGGGACCAUCCUCCAAGGCUAAAUACUCCUGACUGACCGAUAGUGAACCAGUACCGUGAGGGAAAGGCGAAAAGAACCCCGGCGAGGGGAGUGAAAAAGAACCUGAAACCGUGUACGUACAAGCAGUGGGAGCACCUUCGGGUGUGACUGCGUACCUUUUGUAUAAUGGGUCAGCGACUUAUAUUCUGUAGCAAGGUUAACCGUAUAGGGGAGCCGCAGGGAAACCGAGUCUUAACUGGGCGUUAAGUUGCAGGGUAUAGACCCGAAACCCGGUGAUCUAGCCAUGGGCAGGUUGAAGGUUGGGUAACACUAACUGGAGGACCGAACCGACUAAUGUUGAAAAAUUAGCGGAUGACUUGUGGCUGGGGGUGAAAGGCCAAUCAAACCGGGAGAUAGCUGGUUCUCCCCGAAAGCUAUUUAGGUAGCGCCUCGUGAAUUCAUCUUCGGGGGUAGAGCACUGUUUCGGCUAGGGGGUCAUCCCGACUUACCAACCCGAUGCAAACUACGAAUACCGAAGAAUGUUAUCACGGGAGACACACGGCGGGUGCUAACGUCCGUCGUGAAGAGGGAAACAACCCAGACCGCCAGCUAAGGUCCCAAAGUCAUGGUUAAGUGGGAAACGAUGUGGGAAGGCACAGACAGCCAGGAUGUUGGCUUAGAAGCAGCCAUCAUUUAAAGAAAGCGUAAUAGCUCACUGGUCGAGUCGGCCUGCGCGGAAGAUGUAACGGGGCUAAACCAUGCACCGAAGCUGCGGCAGCGACACUAUGUGUUGUUGGGUAGGGGAGCGUUCUGUAAGCCUGCGAAGGUGACCUGUGAGGGUUGCUGGAGGUAUCAGAAGUGCGAAUGCUGACAUAAGUAACGAUAAAGCGGGUGAAAAGCCCGCUCGCCGGAAGACCAAGGGUUCCUGUCCAACGUUAAUCGGGGCAGGGUGAGUCGGCCCCUAAGGCGAGGCCGAAAGGCGUAGUCGAUGGGAAACAGGUUAAUAUUCCUGUACUUGGUGUUACUGCGAAGGGGGGACGGAGAAGGCUAUGUUAGCCGGGCGACGGUUGUCCCGGUUUAAGCAUGUAGGCUGAUUGUCCAGGCAAAUCCGGAUAAUCAAGGCUGAGGUGUGAUGACGAGGCACUACGGUGCUGAAGUAACAAAUGCCCUGCUUCCAGGAAAAGCCUCUAAGCAUCAGGUAACAUCAAAUCGUACCCCAAACCGACACAGGUGGUCAGGUAGAGAAUACCAAGGCGCUUGAGAGAACUCGGGUGAAGGAACUAGGCAAAAUGGUGCCGUAACUUCGGGAGAAGGCACGCUGGUGUGUAGGUGAAGUCCCUGCGGAUGGAGCUGAGACCAGUCGAAGAUACCAGCUGGCUGCAACUGUUUAUUAAAAACACAGCACUGUGCAAACACGAAAGUGGACGUAUACGGUGUGACGCCUGCCCGGUGCCGGAAGGUUAAUUGAUGGGGUUAUCCGUAAGGAGAAGCUCUUGAUCGAAGCCCCGGUAAACGGCGGCCGUAACUAUAACGGUCCUAAGGUAGCGAAAUUCCUUGUCGGGUAAGUUCCGACCUGCACGAAUGGCGUAAUGAUGGCCAGGCUGUCUCCACCCGAGACUCAGUGAAAUUGAACUCGCUGUGAAGAUGCAGUGUACCCGCGGCAAGACGGAAAGACCCCGUGAACCUUUACUAUAGCUUGACACUGAACAUUGAGCCUUGAUGUGUAGGAUAGGUGGGAGGCUUUGAAGCGUGGACGCCAGUCUGCGUGGAGCCAACCUUGAAAUACCACCCUUUAAUGUUUGAUGUUCUAACGUUGGCCCCUUACCGGGGUUGCGGACAGUGUCUGGUGGGUAGUUUGACUGGGGCGGUCUCCUCCCAAAGCGUAACGGAGGAGCACGAAGGUUAGCUAAUCCUGGUCGGACAUCAGGAGGUUAGUGCAAUGGCAUAAGCUAGCUUGACUGCGAGCGUGACGGCGCGAGCAGGUGCGAAAGCAGGUCAUAGUGAUCCGGUGGUUCUGAAUGGAAGGGCCAUCGCUCAACGGAUAAAAGGUACUCCGGGGAUAACAGGCUGAUACCGCCCAAGAGUUCAUAUCGACGGCGGUGUUUGGCACCUCGAUGUCGGCUCAUCACAUCCUGGGGCUGAAGUAGGUCCCAAGGGUAUGGCUGUUCGCCAUUUAAAGUGGUACGCGAGCUGGGUUUAGAACGUCGUGAGACAGUUCGGUCCCUAUCUGCCGUGGGCGCUGGAGAAUUGAGGGGGGCUGCUCCUAGUACGAGAGGACCGGAGUGGACGCAUCACUGGUGUUCGGGUUGUCAUGCCAAUGGCACUGCCCGGUAGCUAAAUGCGGAAGAGAUAAGUGCUGAAAGCAUCUAAGCACGAAACUUGCCCCGAGAUGAGUUCUCCCUGAGACUUUAAGUCUCCUGAAGGAACGUUGAAGACGACGACGUUGAUAGGCCGGGUGUGUAAGCGCAGCGAUGCGUUGAGCUAACCGGUACUAAUGAACCGUGAGGCUUAACCUU
This 2900-nucleotide ribosomal RNA is filed under the name Klebsiella pneumoniae. Its description in RNAcentral is "bacterial LSU rRNA". It matches the Rfam family "Bacterial large subunit ribosomal RNA". Lineage: Bacteria; Pseudomonadati; Pseudomonadota; Gammaproteobacteria; Enterobacterales; Enterobacteriaceae. The record is from RNAcentral.